UAUUGUCUUCCUCCCAGCCUUAUAACAACACACCAUGACAGAAGCACAUCCGAAUUAUUUAGUCCAACAUAAGCAUAUAUAUUACAUGCAUCCUUCUUUCUAUUCUCAUUUGCUAUAGUACUGAGAGAUGUUGCUCACUAGCCACAGCGGCAAUCCACGCAAGCACAGGUAGCACCGCACUUGCAAUUGCCCUCGGGUUCAGCAGCAGCUGGGGCAUUGACGACAUUGUCUGAAUAGCUGAAAGAUAUGACAUGGAACAAACGUUAUUUUAGGAUCUGUGCACAUGAAUGAUGAAAACUAGAGCUUCCUUCCAUAAGUCUUUAAGGUCUAAGUUAGCCCAUUUUCUUAAAAUAAUAAUAAUAAUAAUAAAAGAAAGAAAGAAAGAGAGGAAUAAGCGUUAGCCAUGAGAGUGUUUCAUGGAUUGACCUGGUCCAAACUUGAGCACAAAAGUGUGAUCACAGGAUUUCUUGACCUAAGGUUUUUUUGGAGGGGAAUAUGUGAGAACUUCAACGAUCACAAUUACUUGGGUCAAACAUUAUAGAAACAUUACCCCACCAAAAUAUCUCCUGCCAUAUGGAUUGGUUCAACUAUAGGGCUAUAGUUUAAUUUGUCUAAUAUAUUUACUUGAAGCAAAGAGAGAUUUGUACCUCUUCUCGGUCUCAAUGAUCUCGAUGCCAUAGCUGUUUCCCUUCUUCCUGCAAAUUUCAGGUCAGUUUCUUUAUUAGUAUGCUAAAAUUAACAAGAAAAAUCUAUUUAUCACGUCCAAUGAAAGGUUUCUUUCUGUUCUUCCACCAAAUUUUAGCGUAUCUUACGUGAGUGGACAUAUGCAGAUAUGCUAUGUUAUUCCCACUAAAGUUCUCUUCAAAAAAUAAAAAAAGAAACAAAAAAUCCAGCCAAACGAUCUUUAGGAAGAUUUUAUCUGAACUGAACCUAGCAAACUUUUGGAUGUGAAAGAUCUGAAACUCAAAAAAAUUCUGAAAUUGAUAGAAUUCUCAUAAAUUUUCUGAUUAUUAUGAUGUAGAAAGAAAGGUAUUAUUAGUCUUGCAUUGAUUGUGACUCAAGGGAUACUUUGACUUAUAUAGAAAGGGAUCAUCCUUUCCCACGUGAGGUG
This 1111-nucleotide long non-coding RNA is filed under the name Elaeis guineensis (African oil palm). RNAcentral's name for it is "long non-coding RNA (EGUI_LNC015683)". Lineage: Eukaryota; Viridiplantae; Streptophyta; Magnoliopsida; Arecales; Arecaceae. The record is from RNAcentral.